This is a long non-coding RNA of Alligator mississippiensis (American alligator), 847 nucleotides long. RefSeq lists it as uncharacterized. The transcript is spliced from 3 exons. Lineage: Eukaryota; Metazoa; Chordata; Crocodylia; Alligatoridae. The record is from RefSeq and is a predicted model, not a curated record.
GCCAAGGAGGAAGGAGCUCUCUGUCAGGGAAGAGAGGAGAAACCUGAUGAAGGAGCAGUGUCUGACACGGUGAUGAGAUGAAGAAUCCCCGGCUUGAAUGGCACCCAGGGUUUGAGGUUGAAUGAUAAAGAGGAACCUUUGGCCUACAGAGUUGCUCCCUGAGGGAUGGCUGCUUUCAAGGGGUGGUGUUGAUCAGCUGUAGGGCAAGAAAGAGCUCCAGAGUCAAGCCGUACUCCUCCACCUGCCAGAAGCACUCUAUCUCUCUCUCAGCUUGACUAGGACCCAGGGCUUGAGGCUGAACAGUCAAGAGGACACAAGAAACAUCAGGGAAAGGCUUGUUUGGGAAAGCAAAACUCAGGAGUAAAGUCUGCCCAGAGAUCAGGUUUGACUGUUUGAAAACUGCGCCCAGAUCAAGGCCCUCUGGACCAAUGCAUAAUGCAUAUCUGCUCAGUGGUGGACAGACUCUCUGAGGUGCCAACUGGCUUCAAUUCCCAUUAGGUUUCACCAAAGUUGAGGAUGUCCGGUGUCUGCUAGGAUGUGGGUCCUGAGAAAACCAGACUGCCAUUUUAUCUGUUAGUAUAUUUGUAGUAUCACUAUAAUUACCGGUGUGAGACAUCCAACUUCUUUUCCUGUGCUCUGCAAAAUUAUAACAUUAAAUGCUUCCCAAGUUGCAUACAUAAAUUACAAUGAAAUUCAUCAAAACUGACUUCUAAUUGCUGUUCCAAGCUAGUAGAAUGCUCUUUCAACAUGAGAUGAAAAUAUAGUUGUUUAUAAAAUGUUACUGGAAUGAUUGAGAAAAUUUCUCCAAAUACUCUGUUGAUUUUUAUAAACCUUUUUUCCUAUUCCC